RNAcentral lists this ribosomal RNA (475 nucleotides) under uncultured bacterium. Its description in RNAcentral is "SSU rRNA". It matches the Rfam family "Bacterial small subunit ribosomal RNA", at positions 26 to 518 of the family's 1533-position model. The record is from RNAcentral.
AGGAUGAACGCUGGCGGCGUGCUUAACACAUGCAAGUCGAACGGUGAAAGAGAGCUUGCUCUCUGGAUCAGUGGCGAACGGGUGAGUAACACGUGAGUAACCUGCCCUUGACUCUGGGAUAAGCGUUGGAAACGACGUCUAAUACCGGAUACGACCUCCGAAGGCAUCUUCUGGAGGUGGAAAGAAUUUCGGUCAAGGAUGGACUCGCGGCCUAUCAGCUAGUUGGUGAGGUAAUGGCCCACCAAGGCGACGACGGGUAGCCGGCCUGAGAGGGUGACCGGCCACACUGGGACUGAGACACGGCCCAGACUCCUACGGGAGGCAGCAGUGGGGAAUAUUGCACAAUGGGCGCAAGCCUGAUGCAGCAACGCCGCGUGAGGGACGACGGCCUUCGGGUGUAAACCUCUUUAGUAGGGAAGAAGCGAAAGUGACGGUACCUGCAGAAAAGCACGGCUAACUACGUGCCAGCAGCCGC